RNAcentral lists this ribosomal RNA (877 nucleotides) under Micrococcus endophyticus. RNAcentral describes it as "bacterial SSU rRNA". It matches the Rfam family "Bacterial small subunit ribosomal RNA", at positions 56 to 940 of the family's 1533-position model. Lineage: Bacteria; Bacillati; Actinomycetota; Actinomycetes; Micrococcales; Micrococcaceae. The record is from RNAcentral.
UGCAGUCGAACGAUGAAGCCCAGCUUGCUGGGUGGAUUAGUGGCGAACGGGUGAGUAACACGUGAGUAACCUGCCCUUAACUCUGGGAUAAGCCUGGGAAACUGGGUCUAAUACCGGAUAGGAGCGUCCACCGCAUGGUGGGUGUUGGAAAGAUUUAUCGGUUUUGGAUGGACUCGCGGCCUAUCAGCUUGUUGGUGAGGUAAUGGCUCACCAAGGCGACGACGGGUAGCCGGCCUGAGAGGGUGACCGGCCACACUGGGACUGAGACACGGCCCAGACUCCUACGGGAGGCAGCAGUGGGGAAUAUUGCACAAUGGGCGAAAGCCUGAUGCAGCGACGCCGCGUGAGGGAUGACGGCCUUCGGGUUGUAAACCUCUUUCAGUAGGGAAGAAGCGAAAGUGACGGUACCUGCAGAAGAAGCACCGGCUAACUACGUGCCAGCAGCCGCGGUAAUACGUAGGGUGCGAGCGUUAUCCGGAAUUAUUGGGCGUAAAGAGCUCGUAGGCGGUUUGUCGCGUCUGUCGUGAAAGUCCGGGGCUUAACCCCGGAUCUGCGGUGGGUACGGGCAGACUAGAGUGCAGUAGGGGAGACUGGAAUUCCUGGUGUAGCGGUGGAAUGCGCAGAUAUCAGGAGGAACACCGAUGGCGAAGGCAGGUCUCUGGGCUGUAACUGACGCUGAGGAGCGAAAGCAUGGGGAGCGAACAGGAUUAGAUACCCUGGUAGUCCAUGCCGUAAACGUUGGGCACUAGGUGUGGGGACCAUUCCACGGUUUCCGCGCCGCAGCUAACGCAUUAAGUGCCCCGCCUGGGGAGUACGGGCCGCAAGGCUAAAACUCCAAAGGAAUUGACGGGGGGCCCGCACAAAGCGGGCGGAGCAU